RNAcentral lists this ribosomal RNA (207 nucleotides) under uncultured bacterium. RNAcentral describes it as "partial 16S ribosomal RNA". It matches the Rfam family "Bacterial small subunit ribosomal RNA", at positions 524 to 731 of the family's 1533-position model. The record is from RNAcentral.
UACGUAGGGGGCAAGCGUUGUCCGGAAUUAUUGGGCGUAAAGAGCUCGUAGGCGGUCUGUCGCGUCUGCUGUGAAAACUCGGGGCUCAACCUCCAGCCUGCAGUGGGUACGGGCAGACUAGAGUGCGGUAGGGGAGAUUGGAAUUCCUGGUGUAGCGGUGGAAUGCGCAGAUAUCAGGAGGAACACCGAUGGCGAAGGCAGAUCCUG